GGCUCGGUGAGCGCGUGCGUGACGGACGGCCCGCGCCGCCUGCUGUUCUCACCCGUAAAUCUGCCGGUGUGUUUGUGAAGGACGCGAGGAGAAGGUCGCCAAGCGCUCGUCCCUAAUCCUCUGUACGCCGGAGUAAGUUUGUGUUACGAUGACGACUCCUCCGCUAACUCUGACUCCGUUUUGCUCCUCUGUUUGCGGACCUCGGAGGGAGCUCCUGCUCAAACGCUUCAGAUGAGGGUGGAGUGAAACAUCUCCAUCAUCUCUGCUUUGCUUUGGCUUCGGUUCAGCCUCAGACGUCACUUAUUACAGAAGACCCCUUCUGGAUACGGGUUUGACAUGGAUUUAAUGCUUCACAUUUUACGCUUAAUCAUAAAUGGACCUUAUUGUUAAGUGUUACCGUUAAAUUACCGUGUUACCUCUUUAACUGAACCACACAAGAAAAAAAGCUCACGGCAAAAGAAAAAAAUGCAUCUUGCAUUCUUGUAUUCGUCACUUAAUGUUACUGUAAUAUUCAACAAAACAUUGAAUUAUUUUCCAGACUUGUCGAGCUUGUGAAUUGACGAAAUUUUAUUGCAAACAAUAUUUCUCAAACACAGCAUGCUCCGAAUCAUAACACCUAUAGCUUCAGAUCUUCAUUGGCAGGAAACCCACGUGAGCCUCAGAAAUCAGAAUGAAAUUAUACACCACCCAUUUCUGUCCCCGUCAUCUUCUCAGCAGGACUCUGUAAAGCGUUCAGGGGCUCAAUUAUGCUCUCGUCCUCGAGAAGGGGUUUGCCGCGGCCCGGCUGGUCCUCUUUGUUCUUCUGCUAAUCUCGUCCUGUUUCUAGACCUCCCACGUCAAUGCACAUCUCGCCGGCUUUUGUUCCUUUCAGACUGACGUUAUGAUGGACGAUACGCGCUUGUGAGAUGAAUGCGCCUCAAUCGACAAAAUCAGAAAAUCUUAAAAAACGUUGGCAUUUAAUGGAGUCACUGUCGUGUUUUUGCGAAUCACGUGAAACUAUAAUUGUUUUUUUUUUUUUUUUUUAAAUGAAUCGUUUUUAAAUGUUUCAUAAGCAGCAAAUCAGCACAAUUGUUAGAAUGGCUUCUGAAGGAUCACGUGGCAUAAAAAAUAACAUUUUAAUAUCUAUUCAAAUAGAGAACAGUUAUUCGAAUCAUGAACUGUACAGUUGUUACUGUAUUUUUAAUCAAAUGCAUGCAUGCAUGUUCGAAAACACGUAUGCAUGUUUAUAAACGUAUUUUAUUCACAUUUAAUGUGCUUUCCAUACAUGUAAAAUCACUUUUGUGAAUUUCUUUUGAGGCAUCAUACAGAUGUAUUCUUGUCGUCUUGUCAUUCUUGUAUCUUAACUUUAUUUUCUUGCUUGCGUUUCUUUUUUCACACGGGGAGGAUUACGGGCAACUGACAGCUGCAAGGGAUUGUGGGAGCUGCCCUCCAGCAGCGGCAGAGAUCAAUGCGGUGAUCUGUAGGACCGCAGUCGGUGUGAUUGUGUCCCUCUGGAGUCCUGGGCUUCUCUCGUUCCUCACGCAGCUAGAAUAACCAAGCAGCGAGCCGCACGCCUCUGAAUGAAGAUCUCUGCGACCUUUACUCCACACCCAGUGACCCUGAAGAAGUAUGUUUUGUAGGCAACGGGGUCAGAUCAUUUAGGAGAGAAAUAAACGUGAUCUAAUGAUAUACUGCAAAACAGAAGCAGUGGGCGUUAAA
Long non-coding RNA from Puntigrus tetrazona (Sumatra barb), 1698 nucleotides. RefSeq lists it as uncharacterized. The record is from RefSeq and is a predicted model, not a curated record. The transcript has 3 exons. NCBI's taxonomy places the organism in Eukaryota, Metazoa, Chordata, Actinopteri, Cypriniformes, Cyprinidae.